Molecule: long non-coding RNA, 1014 nt
Filed under: Papio anubis (olive baboon)
Lineage: Eukaryota; Metazoa; Chordata; Mammalia; Primates; Cercopithecidae
Description: lncRNA (ENSPANG00000051214.1)
Source: RNAcentral
AUUCGAUGGCUUUCAGCAGGGGGCAGGAAUGCCUUGAGGAAGGGGCUCCUUUUCCUCAUUCAGGCUGAGGCAGGGCUGAGGAUCUGCGCCACAGCCACUGCUGCCUUGAUGGGAGCUGCCAGGGCUGCUCACAGGGACUGAUCUGAGCUUAGAUCCUGGGAGCAGCUAGUCAGGGUCAGGCCACAUCCUCCUGGAGUUCUGUCUACUUGGUUCUUGUUUUUCACUGCCUUUCCAGCAGACCACACCGACUUCUAAUCUCUUUAAUCCUGGACUCUUGGUCCAUUCAAUACUUUUCUCCUCACUGGAGAGAUGUGAUUUUUCUUCUUUUUGGAGAAUCUUGAAAUGCAAGGAUAAAAUCAUAGAUUCAAACAAGUUUUUAAACUGCAAGCAAAAAUACAGUUAUCUAGAGCAUACGUUUUGGCUUAAGCAGGACUGAGUUGAGAUUCCAGCUGCACAACCUUAAGCAAGUCCUGUAAUCAUUUAUUAUUGGCCGAUCCAUUCAUCCCCUUAUUUAGUUAUUCCCUCAAAAAUAUUUAUUGGGCAUGUACCCCGUGCCAGGUGUUGGGUAAUUCAGUCUCUCAGGAGGAGAGGGAGGCAUUUGUUAAACAGAUACUCACACUGAUAAGUAAGCACAGUAAGUGCUAGGGAGAAAACCCACAGAGGCCGACGAGGACAUGUGAUAGGAGAGGGUAAAGUCGUCAGUUGGGGCAGGGAGGGCUGAGGCUUGAGGAAUGAAAAGGAAUUAACUAGGCAAAUAGGAGGAAGCAUUCCAGAUGGAGGGAGCAGCGUGGGCAAAGAUCCAGGGGCUGGGUCUCCAGUGUGGCUGGACAUGAAGUCAUGGGCAAGAGAAGCACGUCAGGAGAAGAAGCGGGGGAGGACUUGUUUACUCCAUGGCGCUGCUCUGUCCUCAGCUCUGCAAUGCAGCCUGCCAAACAUGUUCCCUUUCCUCCUCUGAUAAAUCCUCAGUGUCCUGCUGGGAUUCUACACCUCCCAGUAAGCCAAUGAAUUAUUAAA